Molecule: long non-coding RNA, 185 nt
Organism: Aquila chrysaetos chrysaetos
Lineage: Eukaryota; Metazoa; Chordata; Aves; Accipitriformes; Accipitridae
Exons: 3
Source: RefSeq, a predicted model, not a curated record
UUCCUUCAAAAUCCACUGUCCUGGCUUCAGCUGGGAUAGAGUUAAUUUUCUUCCUAGUGGCUGGUAUGUUGUUAAGUUUUGGAUUUGGUAUGAGAAUAGUGUUGAUAACACACUGAUGUUUUCAGUUGUUGCUGAGUAGUGUUUAGAAUAGUCAGGGAUUUUUCAGCUUCUCGUGCCCAGCCAGC